ACACCCUCUAAUAACUAAGCUCACCUCCUUGAGAAGCUUCCUUGAGAAGAUUCCUAAAGAAGCUAGAGCUUAGCUACAUAUACCUCUCUAAUAGCUAAGCUCACCUCCUUGAAAUGAGAAGCUAGAGCUUAGCUACACACCCCCUAUAAUAGCUAAGCUCACCACCAUGACAAAAUACAUGAAAAUACAAAAAAUUCCCUACUACAAAGACUACUCAAAAUGCCUCGAAAUACAAGGCUAAAA
Molecule: long non-coding RNA, 243 nt
Filed under: Glycine max (soybean)
Lineage: Eukaryota; Viridiplantae; Streptophyta; Magnoliopsida; Fabales; Fabaceae
Description: long non-coding RNA (GMAX_LNC000098)
Source: RNAcentral